CCAGCUGCCCCCCUGGUUGUCCCCGCACGGAAGUCUGCAGCAUCUCUCAGGCACCGCACCCACCUGGCCCCCAAUUUUUCCCCGCCGGCAUUUCUGGUCUGAUCCUAUGAUUUGGUAUGUUCGUCAGUUUUGGCAUGAUCCUCCUUCCUGUUGUUAGUUGCGUGUACUGUUUUAUGGUUAGAUCUAUCCCUUUUCGUCUGUUGAGUGUGGUAUUUCCCCUGCAGCUAGUUUAGAUGUAUGUGGUUUGCGUUGUUUACUGGCAUUGAAUCCGGUGAAUUCGGGUUGUUGAUGUGCGCCUGGAUAUUCCCUUGCAGCUAGGUAUUUCAAUUUGGACACGCUGAAAUCAUGUUCAGUGAGUUCAAUCCCCUGGAACACGCUGGAUUCUCUAGUGUUUUAUAUCCCCUGUGCCGUUUGCUGAUGUAGGUUUGUAUGUAUUGUUUCAUUGCCUAUCUAUCACUAUGAGAUUGCUAUAGAUUGUCCAUGUCAUGAUUGCCUAGUUUAAUGGGGGAUUGCUUUCGCUAUUUGUUAGUGUAAUUUUAGUGUUUUGUAAGUCAAUUUUACACUGCAUUUGUACUGUAAUUCUUUGCUGAUUUACAUUGGAUUAGUGGAUUUACACCGUAAUCCUUCGUGGAUUUGCACUGUAAUCCUUAGUGGAAUUACAGUGUAUUUUCUUAGUGGAUUUGCACUGAAUUCUAUUUUGGAUUUACAGUGUAAUUCUUACUGGAUUUUUAGUGGUUUUACAGUGUAAUUCUUAGUGGAUUUACAAAAUGUAAUAGUUGUUUUUACAGCGUAAUUUUCAGUGGAUCGGCACUGUAAUUCUUGAGUGAUCUUGUAAUUCGUUAGUGGAGUUACAGUGUAAGUCUCAGUUUAAUUUACAGUGUAAUUCCUAGUGCUUUUUCAACUGUAUUUAGUUGAUUUUUACAGCGUAAUUUUUCAGUGGAUUUACGCUGUAGUUUCUAGUGCAUUUUCUUAGUGGAUUCACAAAUAUAAUACUGCAUUUGCUAGUGGUUUUUACAGCGUAAUCUUCAGUGGACUGACACUAAUUCUUGAGUUCUCUUGUAAUGCAAUUCUUUAGUGGAUUUACAGUGUAAGUCUCACUUGAUUUACAGUGUAUUUCCUAGUGUUUUUGGACUCUAUUUAGAUGAUUUUUACAGCGUAAUUCGUCAGUGGAUUUACACUGUAAUUCUUAGUGCAUUUUGCAAUGUAUUUAGUUGAUUCCUAGUGGAUUUUUACAGUGUAAAUCUCAGUGUAGUCACGCCAUAAUUCUUUUGUGGUUUUACUCUGUAAAUCUUACUGCCAUGGUAUUGUAUUUACUUAUCUUAUCGGUGAUUUUUACACUGGUUAGUAUUGGAUUUUUUGUGUGAUAUGUACUGGAAGCGUGAGCUUUUUGGUGGCUCUCGCUCGCCUUUCUGGCUCUGAAAUAAGAUGAUGACUGAUAUGAGCCUAUGUCUACAUGCCCAGACCUUGCCAAUGGGUGUGUCAAGUGUGGGUUGCAUCCACGUGGCCGCUUGCUUGUGUGGAUGGAUGUGUGCUUGCAAUGGGUUUUGAAACACUAGUAGUACUUCCAAGCAGCUUUUGUCUAUGUGGCUGCAGUGUAAAUGUGAUCCUCUCCUCUUACGAGUGUUUGGCAUGUAGUAUUUUGAACUAAGAAGCACUUGUCUCUGCCUGUGAGCUUGUUAAGUAUACAUUUCAUAUGAGCAGGCAACCCUUUACAUUCCGUAUUUUCUAGGUGGUUGUCUAUGCUUUUCAGUUUUGUGUUCUUUCAGUUAUUGGUUCAGCUAGUGCUUGUUUAUGUUGUUUGGGAGGAGAAGUUGUUGAAAUUCUCAGUGCCAUUUACAGAGGAAUUACAGCAGUUUUCAAUGUUGGUUCACUGUAGAUCACAUUGUAAUUCAACUGCAAUUAUACUGUAAUUCAACUGUCAUUUGCACUAUAAUACUACUGCUUUUUACUCUGUAAAUUUAAUGUCAAAUGUCACUGGGAAUUAUAGUAGUUCUAUGUAUAUUACACUAUAUUUGUGAUGUAAUUACAUUGUAUAUUACAUUGUAAAUCUUUUGCAAUUGCAUUGUAAAACUCACAAAAUUUCUACUGUAGUUGUAUUUCUACUAUAAAUUAGACUGUAAAUCUAUUGAAAUUACACUGCAAAUCACACUAUUAAUCUACUGGUUACACUGCAAUUCUACUAUAUUUGUUACAAAUGUAAAUUCCAUUGUAAAUCUACUAUAAAUUAUACUGUAAAUCUUCUGAAAUUACAGUGUAAAUCACACAUUGAAUUUACUACAAUUAUACCAUAACUCUACUGUAUUUACAACAUCGUAAUUGUAUUUGUAAAUUACAUUGUAAUUGUACCGUGUUUAUACUGUACUUUACACUGCAAUUUUACUGUAAAUCUACUGCAAAUACAGUGUAAUUGAAACUGUAAAACUGUCUUCUAUUGUAAUUCAACUCCGAAUGUAUUGUUUCAGAUUGACUUAACUGUGUGAGUUCAGUUCAUCAUGUGUGAUGGUUACGUUUUUAUCUUCAAAGUUUACUGUAGUUGUUCCUUUUUUCCUGUAAUUGUUACUGGACUAACAUGAUUUACUGUUUCCGUUUUACUUUGCAUACAGUCCAACUAUGUGAUAGUUUCCUGUACUGAGGUCUUAUAUUUCUGCUAAAUUUAUCAGUAUAAUUUCUGCUUCUCUAUGCCAUUCCUGUUUGAAAGUUCUAAUGUAUAUAUGAUUUGCAGUUCUUUAGUAGUUUUAUUUUCCAUGUAAUCUUAGUUUAAUAUGUUUCCUGAUGUACACUUGUCUUUGUUCCUUUCUUUCAAAUUGGAGAAGCAUUUCACGUCUUCUCUUUCUACGUUCAUAAAUGAGGGUAGUUGUUUUUCACUAUAGUCUUUUGCAUGAGUUACAAGAUCUGGUAGUCACAUGCACAUGGCUAGAUAUGGUAUAUACAAUACUCAUUUUUUCUUUAAAGUUGAAUGCAAUUAUGAUCUAGAUGUGCUUCUAGUGUCUACUAGCUGUUAGAAGUGCUUCCAUUAUCUACUGGCUGCAGUCUCUAACUAUUUUAUGUUCUCCUUUUUUUGUAAAUUGUAACAGAAAAUUAAGGAUUCAUAAACGUCAUGUUGAUAUGAGGGAAUGCUGCAGUUGGUUUGAUGUACUUGACAGAAGCAUCAGGGAGAGAGGUGAUUUAGGGAGGGCACCUGACAUGUGAUUAUUCCAUAGUGUAAACUAAUUAGACUGGUUUUCAUCCGGCUGUAAAGUAGAC
This 3243-nucleotide long non-coding RNA is filed under the name Triticum aestivum (bread wheat). RNAcentral's name for it is "long non-coding RNA (TAES_LNC023387)". Lineage: Eukaryota; Viridiplantae; Streptophyta; Magnoliopsida; Poales; Poaceae. The record is from RNAcentral.